AACCAAUGAACUUGUAAAAGUAUUUGCCUUGAAAGUAAAAAAAAGAAGUAAAUCUUCUAUUGGUUU
RNAcentral lists this transfer RNA (66 nucleotides) under Scolytinae sp. BMNH 1274282. RNAcentral describes it as "tRNA-Ser". It matches the Rfam family "tRNA". From Rfam's summary of the family: Transfer RNA (tRNA) molecules are approximately 80 nucleotides in length. Their secondary structure includes four short double-helical elements and three loops (D, anti-codon, and T loops). Lineage: Eukaryota; Metazoa; Arthropoda; Insecta; Coleoptera; Curculionidae. The record is from RNAcentral.